AAAUUGAAGAGUUUGAUCAUGGCUCAGAUUGAACGCUGGCGGCAGGCUUAACACAUGCAAGUCGAACGGGUUGAAAGCUUGCUUUCAAUGCUGACGAGUGGCGGACGGGUGAGUAAGGCUUGGGGAUCUGGCUUUUGGAGGGGGAUAACCAUUGGAAACGAUGGCUAAUACCGCAUAGUAUCGAGAGAUGAAAGGGGUGGGAGACCACUUGCCAAGGAUGAACCCAAGUGAGAUUAGGUAGUUGGUGGGGUAAGGGCCUACCAAGCCGACGAUCUCUAGCUGGUCUGAGAGGAUGGCCAGCCACACUGGGACUGAGACACGGCCCAGACUCCUACGGGAGGCAGCAGUGGGGAAUAUUGCGCAAUGGGGAACCCUGACGCAGCCAUGCCGCGUGAAUGAAGAAGGCCUUCGGGUUGUAAAGUUCUUUCGGUGAGGAAGGCGGUAGUGUUAAUAGCGCUAUUGUUUGACGUUAGCCACAGAAGAAGCACCGGCUAACUCCGUGCCAGCAGCCGCGGUAAUACGGAGGGUGCGAGCGUUAAUCGGAAUAACUGGGCGUAAAGGGCACGCAGGCGGACGUUAAGUGAGAUGUGAAAGCCCCGGGCUUAACCUGGGAACAGCAUUUCAUACUGGCGUACUAGAGUACUUUAGGGAGGGGUAGAAUUCCACGUGUAGCGGUGAAAUGCGUAGAGAUGUGGAGGAAUACCGAAGGCGAAGGCAGCCCCUUGGGAAGAUACUGACGCUCAUGUGCGAAAGCGUGGGGAGCAAACAGGAUUAGAUACCCUGGUAGUCCACGCUGUAAACGCUGUCGAUUUGAGGGUUGUACGAAAGGUAUGGCUCUCGAAGCAAGCCGUGAUAAAUCGACCGCCUGGGGAGUACGGCCGCAAGGUUAAAACUCAAAUGAAUUGACGGGGACUCGCACAAGCGGUGGAGCAUGUGGUUUAAUUCGAUGCAACGCGAAGAACCUUACCUACUCUUGACAUCCUGAGGAGAAGCUAGAGAUAACUGUGCUUUCGAGAACUUAGAGACAGGUGCUGCAUGGCUGUCGUCAGCUCGUGUUGUGAAAUGUUGGGGUAAGUCCCGCAGCGCAGCCCUUAUUCUUUGUUACCAGCGGGUGGGCCGGGGACUCAAAGGAGACUGCCAG
RNAcentral lists this ribosomal RNA (1141 nucleotides) under Gallibacterium anatis. RNAcentral's name for it is "bacterial SSU rRNA". It matches the Rfam family "Bacterial small subunit ribosomal RNA", at positions 1 to 1155 of the family's 1533-position model. The record is from RNAcentral. Lineage: Bacteria; Pseudomonadati; Pseudomonadota; Gammaproteobacteria; Pasteurellales; Pasteurellaceae.